Molecule: ribosomal RNA, 256 nt
Filed under: uncultured bacterium
Lineage: Bacteria
Description: partial small subunit ribosomal RNA
Rfam family: Bacterial small subunit ribosomal RNA
Source: RNAcentral
AGGACGAACGCUGGCGGCGUGCUUAACACAUGCAAGUCGAGCGGAAAGGCCCUUCGGGGUACUCGAGCGGCGAACGGGUGAGUAACACGUGAGCAACCUGCCCCUGGCUCUGGGAUAGCCUCCGGAAACGGGGAUUAAUACCGGACAUUCACUUUCUUCCGCAUGGUCGGGAGUGGAAAGUUUUUUCGGCCGGGGAGGGCUCGCGGCCUAUCAGCUUGUUGGCGGGGUAACGGCCCACCAAGGCGACGACGGGUAG